AAUCCUGCUGGGGGAAGGAGCCCCCGUGAUCUCCUGCUGUACCAGCAGGGCUGGCGCUGCCUGGCUCAGCCCCUGGCUGCAGCUGCUAAUUAAAAACAAACGAGGAGGGGACGGAUGGCAAGCGAUGCACUCCAUCGCUGCGCCCGAGCCACUUGAUUUAAGAGCGCUGCGACUCGCUCGGAUGAGUAAUGUGGAAAUUAAAUUUUCUGCGCCUCUGGGAGGGAGAGAUCUUGGCCACGAUUCCUGCUCCUUCCAGAGCACCUCGCUCGCUGCCUUGAGCACCUGGAGACCUCCGGGAGGUGCCAGCAGGAUCAAUCCCAGCUGGGACCGGAGCCCCCCACCCCUCUCCCCAAACCCCUCCCAGCAGCACUGGUGGCUCCGUGCAGGACCAGCCGAGUGCCCUGUAGUGCUGCUGACGGCACCAGACCCUCAGCAGCUCCUCCGGAUCGACAUUAAACUUAAACCAAAUUGCGUCGUGCGCUACAGUGCGGAUGCUCGGCUGCGUUUUCCUCUCCUAACGAUGGAGGCAGUGGGAAUUGCAGCACCAUUAAUUCCUCCCCCUGCCUCCCGUGAAUAUCCACAGGCUCUCCCCUCACCCUGUGCAGCGGGUCGGAGGCUGCUGCAGCCCCGUCCCCUUUUUGUAGGGGCUCGGUGCUCGCGGCGAGGCUGGGAACGAGCUGGAGCAGCCUGCGACCAGGCUCUCAGGGUGGGAAACUGCUGCUGAGCGGGCAAUGAAGGUUAUUAAAUGUCAGGGAGAAAUAAAGCCGCCUUUUUUAUUAUUCUCCUCCCCCCUGAAAUGGUUUGGAAGCGCUUUGUGCUGCAGUGGGAGAUGAG
RNAcentral lists this long non-coding RNA (834 nucleotides) under Anas zonorhyncha (Eastern spot-billed duck). RNAcentral's name for it is "lncRNA (ENSAZOG00000003288.1)". The record is from RNAcentral. Lineage: Eukaryota; Metazoa; Chordata; Aves; Anseriformes; Anatidae.